Molecule: ribosomal RNA, 468 nt
Filed under: uncultured bacterium
Lineage: Bacteria
Description: partial 16S ribosomal RNA
Rfam family: Bacterial small subunit ribosomal RNA
Source: RNAcentral
GACGAACGCUGGCGGCGUGCUUAGCACAUGCAAGUCGAACGGAAAGGCCCUGCUUUUGUGGGGUGCUCGAGUGGCGAACGGGUGAGUAACACGUGAGUAACCUGCCCUUGACUUUGGGAUAACUUCAGGAAACUGGGGCUAAUACCGGAUAGGAGCUCCUGCUGCAUGGUGGGGGUUGGAAAGUUUCGGCGGUUGGGGAUGGACUCGCGGCUUAUCAGCUUGUUGGUGGGGUAGUGGCUUACCAAGGCUUUGACGGGUAGCCGGCCUGAGAGGGUGACCGGCCACAUUGGGACUGAGAUACGGCCCAGACUCCUACGGGAGGCAGCAGUGGGGAGUAUUGCACAAUGGGCGGAAGCCUGAUGCGGAAACGCCGCGUGCGGAAUAACGGCCUUCGGGUUGUAAACCGCUUUCGCCUGUAACGAGGCGUGAGUGACGGUAAUGGGUAAAGAAGCACCGGCUAACUACGUG